UACGGGGGGGGCAAGCGUUGUUCGGAAUUACUGGGCGUAAAGGGCUCGUAGGUGGCCAACUAAGUCAGACGUGAAAUCCCUCGGCUUAACCGGGGAACUGCGUCUGAUACUGGAUGGCUUGAAUUCGGGAGAGGGAUGCGGAAUUCCAGGUGUAGCGGUGAAAUGCGUAGAUAUCAGGAGGAACACCGAUGGCGAAGGCAGGUCUCUGGGCCGAUACUGACGCUGAGGAGCGAAAGCGUGGGGAGCGAACAGG
Molecule: ribosomal RNA, 253 nt
Filed under: uncultured bacterium
Lineage: Bacteria
Description: partial 16S ribosomal RNA
Rfam family: Bacterial small subunit ribosomal RNA
Source: RNAcentral